CCUACGGGUGGCAGCAGUGAGGAAUAUUGGUCAAUGGACGCAAGUCUGAACCAGCCAAGUAGCGUGCAGGAUGACGGCCCUCCGGGUUGUAAACUGCUUUUAGUUGGGAAUAAAAGGGGGCUCGUGAGCCCCGUAUUGUAUGUACCAUCAGAAAAAGGACCGGCUAAUUCCGUGCCAGCAGCCGCGGUAAUACGGAAGGUACGGGCGUUAUCCGGAUUUAUUGGGUUAAGAGGGAGCGUAGGCCGGCUUUUAAGUAAGCUGUGAAAGUCCGCGGCUCAACCCCGUCGUGCCGUUGAAACUGAUGUAGUUGAGUGGGCGAGAAGUAUGCGGAAUGCGUGGUGUAGCGGUGGAAUGCAUA
This 358-nucleotide ribosomal RNA is filed under the name uncultured bacterium. RNAcentral describes it as "partial 16S ribosomal RNA". It matches the Rfam family "Bacterial small subunit ribosomal RNA", at positions 338 to 692 of the family's 1533-position model. The record is from RNAcentral.